AUUAAUUGAUCAUGAGAAACACAGAAUUUGAUUGGCUGAACAAGAUUGUCUUACCUUGGGAACAAAAUAAGGAACAGAUGAUUUUCACUAAAUCGUGUUUUAGAGUUUUUUUUAACGAUACCCUUAAUAUUAAUAUUUUUUAAUAAAUGCAAGGACGUAUUAUAAAACGUCUUUGAUAAGAGUAAAGAGAAUGAACACAGGGCGAACGUAC
Molecule: long non-coding RNA, 211 nt
Filed under: Mytilus galloprovincialis (Mediterranean mussel)
Lineage: Eukaryota; Metazoa; Mollusca; Bivalvia; Mytilida; Mytilidae
Source: RNAcentral